CUGCUACCACCGCCUGUCCAGAGUCACCGCGUUGUCCAACAAAGCCAGAGCCCAUAAUGACUUGUGGCUGUGCAGGUAAGCCUUGGGUCUUGAAAAUAUUCGUCCGUCUCUUUGAGCCUGGGUGAAGCUUUCCACAGGAUGUCAUGGCCUCUCCAGCAUCCCGGGUCAUCCACUGGGUUCUCCAGGGAGCCGAUCAACCGUCCUUCACCCAGAGUUACAUUGCGUCCGAG
Molecule: long non-coding RNA, 230 nt
Filed under: Hordeum vulgare
Lineage: Eukaryota; Viridiplantae; Streptophyta; Magnoliopsida; Poales; Poaceae
Description: long non-coding RNA (HVUL_LNC018239)
Source: RNAcentral